ACGACCCUUAGCGAAGGAUGUCUUGGUUCCGGCAACGAUGAAGAAC
RNAcentral lists this ribosomal RNA (46 nucleotides) under Lotharella globosa. RNAcentral describes it as "partial 5.8S ribosomal RNA". The record is from RNAcentral. Lineage: Eukaryota; Cercozoa; Chlorarachniophyceae.